CGGACGGGUGAGUAACGCGUGGGCAACCUGCCCCAUACAGGGGGAUAACAGCCGGAAGCGGCUGCUAAAACCGCAUAAGCGCACAAGGGCCGCAUGGCCUGGUGUGAAAAACUCCAGUGGUAUGGGAUGGGCCCGCGUCUGAUUAGCUAGUUGGCGGGGGAGAGGCCCACCAAGGCGACGAUCAGUAGCCGACCUGAGAGGGUGGCCGGUCACAUUGGGACUGAGACACGGCCCAAACUCCUACGGGAGGCAGCAG
Molecule: ribosomal RNA, 256 nt
Filed under: uncultured bacterium
Lineage: Bacteria
Description: partial 16S ribosomal RNA
Rfam family: Bacterial small subunit ribosomal RNA
Source: RNAcentral